Molecule: long non-coding RNA, 519 nt
Filed under: Setaria viridis
Lineage: Eukaryota; Viridiplantae; Streptophyta; Magnoliopsida; Poales; Poaceae
Description: long non-coding RNA (SVIR_LNC005103)
Source: RNAcentral
AGGUUAUUUGCAUGACUUCCUUGUAAUUUGGCACACUCCACAGGAACAUUGUGGUGUUUACGAUCAAUUGUGUGCCUUUUAGUGUUGUUCCACUAAUCAAGAAGUGUUACCUCUGCAAAAUCAUCAUCACUCCUCUUACAACUUGAAAACCUUAAGGUUGUUGCUUAUAGGGUUGAGCUCCUUGUGAUACAUUGAAAUAUCCCAUCAGCCAUUUCUCUUCCAAUAAUCCUUUUGAGAUACCACUUAAUUAGUUCCCCAUGAUCAUUUGCCUUAAGAGAAUCUCCAGCAGAUUGCUCAUAUUCCAUUACCAAAAUAUUUUCUCUCUCCAUCCCCAUUAGAUGAUUUUGCGUUUUUGGAGAUCGCUGCUACAGCAGACUACCAAAAAUCAAUCUCCAAUACUCCCCUGACAUGUGGGACCGGCAUGUCAUAAAUCUAUUUAUUUUUUCCCUUUUCCUUUUUACUUCCUCCCGACCCUAUCUCUCUCAUGUGGUUCCUUUUUCCCCUUCGACCCGAUCUCUC